UAAUGAUGGUGAGGGAAAUUUUUGAGCAUACCCUUAAAUCUUUCCCAAGUUUGGUAGAGAUUCUCUCCUUCUUUUUGUUUGAAACUCAAGAUCUCACUCCUCAAGCG
This is a non-coding RNA of Capsicum annuum, 107 nucleotides long. Lineage: Eukaryota; Viridiplantae; Streptophyta; Magnoliopsida; Solanales; Solanaceae. The record is from Rfam.